This is a long non-coding RNA of Amphimedon queenslandica, 669 nucleotides long. RefSeq lists it as uncharacterized. The transcript is spliced from 3 exons. Lineage: Eukaryota; Metazoa; Porifera; Demospongiae; Haplosclerida; Niphatidae. The record is from RefSeq and is a predicted model, not a curated record.
AAAGCGGACGGACGGACGGACCCGCCCCGCCCGAAAAAGGACGGACGGACGGACUGAUGCGGACCCGACAGGACCAUAAAUAUCCAUGUAAAGGACAAUCAUUCAUGGAUAAUCUGUCUUUAAAACACUUUUAUACUUGGACAAUAAAUUUAUGUACGUAUUAACUAUGCUAGGACCAAUAGAAGAGGUCAUGUUAGCGAAAAUGUAACUUUAUCAAUGCCAAAAUUGCCGGCUACUACAGGCUGCAUGAAGCAUCACAAUACUGAACCAUCUCUUGAAUUCUAUUUGUUAUUCUUAAUAGGAGUUCAGUGAAACCAUUUUAAUGAUUUUUCUAUAUUAUUUGGUGCAAGUCUAUAUCUUCAAUCAAUAUAUUCUAAGAGGAAUUACCAUUUACAGUGAAUAUAAGCAGGAAUACAAUGUAGACUAUAUAGGAUGACUAUUAUUAAAUAAAAACUGCAAUUUUUUAGAGUAAUAAUUAUGUUUUGUGUAUUAUCAACAGCAAUCUUUAGUAAAUUGGUUGCAAAUCAACCUGAUGAGACUGUUGACUGAUACUUUUAUGAUUAUAUAUGAUGUAAGUGAAGUUGAAUCUAUUGUAAUGCCUUGUCAUGUCAGGAGCCACUAGAUUUUAAUUGUUAUUAAGCGUCAUAAAUCAAUUUUUUAAUUUUGAUU